This 428-nucleotide ribosomal RNA is filed under the name uncultured bacterium. RNAcentral describes it as "bacterial SSU rRNA". It matches the Rfam family "Bacterial small subunit ribosomal RNA", at positions 355 to 775 of the family's 1533-position model. The record is from RNAcentral.
UGGGGAAUUUUGGACAAUGGGGGCAACCCUGAUCCAGCCAUGCCGCGUGUGUGAAGAAGGCCUUCGGGUUGUAAAGCACUUUCGGCCGGAACGAAAUCGCGCGGGUGAAUAACACGCGUGGAUGACGGUACCGGAAGAAGAAGCACCGGCUAACUACGUGCCAGCAGCCGCGGUAAUACGUAGGGUGCGAGCGUUAAUCGGAAUUACUGGGCGUAAAGUGUGCGCAGGCGGCCGAGCAAGUCGAGUGUGAAAGCCCCGAGCUUAACUUGGGAACUGCGCUCGAAACUACUUGGCUGGAGUGUGGCAGAGGAAGGUGGAAUUCCACGUGUAGCGGUGAAAUGCGUAGAGAUGUGGAGGAACACCGAUGGCGAAGGCAGCCUUCUGGGCCAACACUGACGCUCAUGCACGAAAGCGUGGGGAGCAAACAG